RNAcentral lists this long non-coding RNA (697 nucleotides) under Gossypium barbadense (sea-island cotton). RNAcentral's name for it is "long non-coding RNA (GBAR_LNC021045)". The record is from RNAcentral. Lineage: Eukaryota; Viridiplantae; Streptophyta; Magnoliopsida; Malvales; Malvaceae.
AAAUAAGAAAAAGAAAAAACACAAAGAAAAAGACCCCCUUUGAAUAUAUUUGAAUGAAUAUCAAAAACGAAAAAAAAGAAGCCCACCCCUGUUACAUUGAUUCUCUUUCGGCUUUUAUAGCCGAUUACAUGUGAUUUUCACUACUCUCUGCUUGUUUUGCUUUUGUUUUGCAUGUUUCUCCAUUCAUUUCCUGUCUUCUUCUGUUUAUUCUUUCCCCCAUCCCUCGCAUGCUGUUGUUUUUGUCUCUAUUACAGGUGUGUCAGGUGUGGAUGGUGUCAGACGCAUGGAGGAGAAGGGCAUGCGCGGGGUGUGGUGGUGGUGCGCAAGGUGGCCCAUGGUUGGCCUAGCGUGCGGCGGCUAGAGGCUUGGGGAGCUGCUAGGGUUUCCUCUUUUUUUUGGAAAAUGUUUAGUGGGCUAGGUUGAUUUGGGCCUGUUGGGCUAGUCUUUUAGUUUUGUACUUUGGACUUUAUUUAUUUGGUUUAUUGGGUUUUGUUAUUGGGUUUUGGGGGUGGCCCAAAAUUGGCCUGUACAACUGCCCCUCUUUGCUCAUUGUCGUGUAACGGGAAUGGAGCAAAGACAUAAUGAAAGGCCAAUUUUGCCUGGUCUUGCUGGGUAUGGAGGUGCCAGGCAUGCGGGGAUGGUGUUGGCAGAAGCAUGGGGCGUGGUAGCCGACAUGGUGGUGUUCGGCGCAAGUGGG